GUGCUAAUCUGCGAUAAGCGCCGGUAAGGUGAUAUGAACCGUUAUAACCGGCGAUACCCGAAUGGGGAAACCCAGUGUGACUCGUCACACUAUCAUUAACUGAAUCCAUAGGUUAAUGAGGCGAACCGGGGGAACUGAAACAUCUAAGUACCCCGAGGAAAAGAAAUCAACCGAGAUUCCCCCAGUAGCGGCGAGCGAACGGGGAGGAGCCCAGAGCCUGAAUCAGCAUGUGUGUUAGUGGAAGCGUCUGGAAAGGCGCGCGAUACAGGGUGACAGCCCCGUACACAAAAGCGCAUGUGCUGUGAGCUCGAUGAGUAGGGCGGGACACGUGGUAUCCUGUCUGAAUAUGGGGGGACCAUCCUCCAAGGCUAAAUACUCCUGACUGACCGAUAGUGAACCAGUACCGUGAGGGAAAGGCGAAAAGAACCCCGGCGAGGGGAGUGAAAAAGAACCUGAAACCGUGUACGUACAAGCAGUGGGAGCACAGGUUUACCUGUGUGACUGCGUACCUUUUGUAUAAUGGGUCAGCGACUUAUAUUCUGUAGCAAGGUUAACCGAAUAGGGGAGCCGGAGGGAAACCGAGUCUUAAUUGGGCGUUAAGUUGCAGGGUAUAGACCCGAAACCCGGUGAUCUAGCCAUGGGCAGGUUGAAGGUUGGGUAACACUAACUGGAGGACCGAACCGACUAAUGUUGAAAAAUUAGCGGAUGACCUGUGGCUGGGGGUGAAAGGCCAAUCAAACCGGGAGAUAGCUGGUUCUCCCCGAAAGCUAUUUAGGUAGCGCCUCGUGAAUUCAUCUCCGGGGGUAGAGCACUGUUUCGGCUAGGGGGCCAUCCCGGCUUACCAACCCGAUGCAAACUGCGAAUACCGGAGAAUGUUAUCACGGGAGACACACGGCGGGUGCUAACGUCCGUCGUGAAGAGGGAAACAACCCAGACCGCCAGCUAAGGUCCCAAAGUCAUGGUUAAGUGGGAAACGAUGUGGGAAGGCCCAGACAGCCAGGAUGUUGGCUUAGAAGCAGCCAUCAUUUAAAGAAAGCGUAAUAGCUCACUGGUCGAGUCGGCCUGCGCGGAAGAUGUAACGGGGCUAAACCAUGCACCGAAGCUGCGGCAGCGACACUGUGUGUUGUUGGGUAGGGGAGCGUUCUGUAAGCCUGUGAAGGUGU
Molecule: ribosomal RNA, 1163 nt
Filed under: Salmonella enterica subsp. enterica serovar Enteritidis
Lineage: Bacteria; Pseudomonadati; Pseudomonadota; Gammaproteobacteria; Enterobacterales; Enterobacteriaceae
Description: partial 23S ribosomal RNA
Rfam family: Bacterial large subunit ribosomal RNA
Source: RNAcentral